This is a long non-coding RNA of Pseudophryne corroboree (corroboree frog), 833 nucleotides long. RefSeq lists it as uncharacterized. Lineage: Eukaryota; Metazoa; Chordata; Amphibia; Anura; Myobatrachidae. The record is from RefSeq and is a predicted model, not a curated record. The transcript is spliced from 2 exons.
GCCAGCAGCAGCAGCAUAUAUCACACUGACAGCGUGCAGGAGGAUGUCCUAUGAAGCUCUCUGUAGCAGCACAGCCCACAUCCCAGGCAGCAGUCUCCUAUCCUACAGACGUAACCCAUCUAUAACAACUGAUUAUCAAGUUCGAGAAUGUGCCAGUGGUUCCUUAACAUUUUCUCAAGAAGUUGGUGAUGACUAUUGUAUUGCUUUAUAAAGGCAAUAUGAAAAUCCUUUUUUAAUUCUUUCUGUUUGUACUGGGUCAUGGAACUGUUAUCUGUUUUUGCUAUGUGUUCGAUUUGUUUUUGUAGCUGUUUUUUGUUGUAGCCCUUUUCUACAAACUUUCUUUUUAUGCUUUGACUUUGAAUGAGAAAGGUCUCUUUUUCUGAAUAAUUAUGUGUUAUUCUUCUGAAUUGUCCGCCGAGGAUAUUCUCGAGCCAUUUUCUGUGAUGGUAACAUUUUGUGGAUAAUGCAUUGUUGUUAUUAUAGUGUUGUUAUUAAUGAAGAUCUAAGAAAAUCACCAUUUCUUUCCUUGUUGUUGAAGUAAAUUCUAGACCAUAGCUACUAUUAUUAAUGUAUUUGAUCAAUUCUUUUAGUAUUGCUUCAGGUUUGUCCCAUAUAAGAAACAGGUCAUAUAUACCUGUGCCAAUAUUUCUGUAUAGGUUGUGGUUCCAGGGUUUUUUUCCUCCCAACUUUCUACAGACAUAUUCACAUAACAUGUAGCAAAUGAUGUGCCCAUUGGUGCGCCCUUUAUUUGAUUGUAAAAGUCUCCAUUAUACCAGAAGUAAUUGUGAUGCAGUGUAAAAUCAAUUCCAUCAAUUAAAAAGAUUAUUUGAUCA